This 547-nucleotide ribosomal RNA is filed under the name Lactobacillus sp. RNAcentral's name for it is "bacterial SSU rRNA". It matches the Rfam family "Bacterial small subunit ribosomal RNA", at positions 64 to 598 of the family's 1533-position model. Lineage: Bacteria; Bacillati; Bacillota; Bacilli; Lactobacillales; Lactobacillaceae. The record is from RNAcentral.
GAAGCUUGCUUCAUGAUUCAGACCUUGGUGAGUGGCGGACGGGUGAGUAACACGUGGGUAACCUGCCCAAAAGUGGGGGAUAACAUUUGGAAACAAGUGCUAAUACCGCAUAACAACUACUUUCACAUGAUCGUAGCUUGAAAGAUGGCUCUGCUAUCGCUUUUGGAUGGACCCGCGGCGUAUUAGCUAGUUGGUGAGGUAAUAGCUCACCAAGGCAAUGAUACGUAGCCGACCUGAGAGGGUAAUCGGCCACAUUGGGACUGAGACACGGCCCAAACUCCUACGGGAGGCAGCAGUAGGGAAUCUUCCACAAUGGGCGAAAGCCUGAUGGAGCAAUGCCGCGUGAGUGAAGAAGGUUUUCGGAUCGUAAAACUCUGUUGUUGAAGAAGAACAUGCGUGAGAGUAACUGUUCACGUACUGACGGUAUUCAACCAGAAAGCCACGGCUAACUACGUGCCAGCAGCCGCGGUAAUACGUAGGUGGCAAGCGUUGUCCGGAUUUAUUGGGCGUAAAGAGAAUGUAGGCGGUUUAUUAAGUUUGAAGUGAA